AUACGUAGGGUGCAAGCGUUAAUCAGAAUUACUGGGCGUAAAGCGUGCGCAGGCGGUUUUGGAAGAAAGAGGUGAAAUCCCCCGGCUCAACCUGGGAAAUGCCUUUGUGACUGCAAGGCUAGAGGACGGCAGAGGGGGGUGGAAUUUCGCGUGUAGCAGUGAAAUGCGUAGAUAUGCGGAGGAACACCGAUGGCGAAGGCAAUCCCCUGGGCCUGUACUGACGCUCAUGCACGAAAGCGUGGGGAGCAAACAGGAUUAGAUACCCUGGUAGUCCACGCCCUAAACGAUGUCAACUGGUUGUUGGGUCUUCAUUGACUCAGUAACGAAGCUAACGCGUGAAGUUGACCGCCUGGGGAGUACGGCCGCAAGGUUGAAACUCAAAUGAAUUGACGGGG
RNAcentral lists this ribosomal RNA (395 nucleotides) under uncultured bacterium. RNAcentral describes it as "partial 16S ribosomal RNA". It matches the Rfam family "Bacterial small subunit ribosomal RNA", at positions 523 to 918 of the family's 1533-position model. The record is from RNAcentral.